RNAcentral lists this ribosomal RNA (253 nucleotides) under uncultured bacterium. RNAcentral describes it as "partial 16S ribosomal RNA". It matches the Rfam family "Bacterial small subunit ribosomal RNA", at positions 524 to 776 of the family's 1533-position model. The record is from RNAcentral.
UACGUAGGGGGCUAGCGUUGUCCGGAAUCAUUGGGCGUAAAGCGCGUGUAGGCGGUCCGGUAAGUCCGCUGUGAAAGUCGGGGGCUCAACCCUCGAAUGCCGGUGGAUACUGUCGGGCUAGAGUGCGGAAGAGGCGAGUGGAAUUCCUGGUGUAGCGGUGAAAUGCGCAGAUAUCAGGAAGAACACCGAUGGCGAAGGCAGCUCUCUGGGACGGUACUGACGCUGAGACGCGAAAGCGUGGGGAGCGAACAGG